UUUUGAUUUUACAGCAAAAAUAAAAUGUUGAUGAGCUACAUUAUAAUUUUAUGAAUCCCCACUUUAAAAGAUGACGCCGGCCAAAUUCAGAUUCUGACUUCAUAGGAAAGUAGAGUGCCAUGAGCUGGCCAGCAUGGAGCGCAGCUGUGAAGUGCCUGGCCCUGGGCUUGUCCUUCAGAAGAAUAUCCUCUGCUAGUUAUGGAGGAACAAGUCUGUAACCCCAUCACGUGGAAGCUGAGACAGGAAGAUCCCAAGAUUGAGGCCAGCCUGGGCUACGUAGUAAGUCACGGUCACAGAGACAGGAAAGCCCAUGGUGUAUCCCUCCCAUGUGAGCAACGUACAAAUGAACUCAGUCUAAAGGAGAUGGGCAGAGUGGAAGCUCUAAGGCUGGACCCCUCCACAAAACAACUGUGAAACUGAUAAAAAAAAAAAAAAAAAAAGACCAGACUAAACCACAGGAUGCUGCAACCAAGAGGAACACAGCACAAGCAGGCAUGUGCCGUGUGAAAGGGAAGGCUGCUGAUCUGUAAGAUAGCAAGAGGAAACAUUUCUCAGACUUUCCUUGGACUUCAAUAAAUGUGAAGUAAAGUUGUG
This 594-nucleotide long non-coding RNA is filed under the name Cricetulus griseus (Chinese hamster). RNAcentral's name for it is "lncRNA (ENSCGRG00015036171.1)". Lineage: Eukaryota; Metazoa; Chordata; Mammalia; Rodentia; Cricetidae. The record is from RNAcentral.